Molecule: ribosomal RNA, 239 nt
Filed under: uncultured Lactobacillus sp.
Lineage: Bacteria; Bacillati; Bacillota; Bacilli; Lactobacillales; Lactobacillaceae
Description: partial 16S ribosomal RNA
Rfam family: Bacterial small subunit ribosomal RNA
Source: RNAcentral
CCGUAGCCCAAGAGAUCGGGAUAACACCUGGAAACAGAUGCUAAUACCGGAUAACAACAGAUGAUGCCUAUCAACUGUUUAAAAGAUGGUUCUGCUAUCACUCUUGGAUGGACCUGCGGUGCAUUAGCUAGUUGGUAGGGUAACGGCCUACCAAGGCGAUGAUGCAUUGCCGAGUUGAGAGACUGAUCGGCCACAUUGGGACUGAGACACGGCCCAAACUCCUACGGGAGGCAGCAGUC